This 254-nucleotide long non-coding RNA is filed under the name Panax ginseng (ginseng). RNAcentral describes it as "long non-coding RNA (PGIN_LNC013917)". The record is from RNAcentral. Lineage: Eukaryota; Viridiplantae; Streptophyta; Magnoliopsida; Apiales; Araliaceae.
CAUGAUCUGAACUAUAGGCUUGUAUCUCUGUAUUCUUGUUGUGUGGUCCUUAAAGAUCAUUUAGGCAGUAGAGAGAAUCGUUCUCUGCCAAGUCUCUUAGCUGGGGGUAGUACUGCAGUUGUCUGACGUAUUCCCCUUUUUUGGUUGUGGUACGUAGGCUCCAAACUCAGUGACAAUGGACCAAAAAGAGCUACCCUUGGGGGCUAGCCACCAUUCUUGUGGGUUGUUAGACUUGGCUCAGUCCAUGACAAGGG